Non-coding RNA from Podarcis lilfordi (Lilford's wall lizard), 202 nucleotides. The record is from the annotation of a GenBank genome assembly. NCBI's taxonomy places the organism in Eukaryota, Metazoa, Chordata, Lepidosauria, Squamata, Lacertidae.
UGUAAGUGGGACAGGGGGAGGGGAGGGAGUUAAAUAUGCUGUUUUUGAAAAUGCAAAAAAUAAAAUAAUAAAAAGAAGUGACAAUGGGACAAAAGCUGUGUGUGUGUGUGUGUGUGUGUGUGUGUGUGUGUGUGUGUAAACCAUGGGGAGCAAUGCCUCCCUCAAGCAUUUUCAGUCCUAUCAAAAUUGCUGCUAAAUCCAG